AUUGAACGCUGGCGGCAUGCCUUACACAUGCAAGUCGAACGGCAGCACGGGAGCAAUCCUGGUGGCGAGUGGCGAACGGGUGAGUAAUACAUCGGAACGUGCCCAAUCGUGGGGGAUAACGCAGCGAAAGCUGUGCUAAUACCGCAUACGAUCUACGGAUGAAAGCAGGGGACCGCAAGGCCUUGCGCGAGUGGAGCGGCCGAUGGCAGAUUAGGUAGUUGGUGAGGUAAAGGCUCACCAAGCCUUCGAUCUGUAGCUGGUCUGAGAGGACGACCAGCCACACUGGGACUGAGACACGGCCCAG
RNAcentral lists this ribosomal RNA (304 nucleotides) under uncultured bacterium. RNAcentral's name for it is "bacterial SSU rRNA". It matches the Rfam family "Bacterial small subunit ribosomal RNA", at positions 30 to 334 of the family's 1533-position model. The record is from RNAcentral.